UACGGAGGGUGCGAACGUUAAUCGGAAUCACUGGGCGUAAAGCGCGCGUAGGCGGUCUGUUAAGUGGGAUGUGAAAUCCCCGGGCUUAACCUGGGAAUUGCAUUUCAAACUGGCCGACUAGAGUACGGUAGAGGGAGGUAGAAUUUCCUGUGUAGCGGUGAAAUGCGUAGAUAUAGGAAGGAAUACCAGUGGCGAAGGCGGCCACCUGGACGGAUACUGACGCUGAGACGCGAAAGCGUGGGUAGCAAACAGG
This 253-nucleotide ribosomal RNA is filed under the name uncultured bacterium. RNAcentral describes it as "partial 16S ribosomal RNA". It matches the Rfam family "Bacterial small subunit ribosomal RNA", at positions 524 to 776 of the family's 1533-position model. The record is from RNAcentral.